Molecule: ribosomal RNA, 608 nt
Filed under: Escherichia coli
Lineage: Bacteria; Pseudomonadati; Pseudomonadota; Gammaproteobacteria; Enterobacterales; Enterobacteriaceae
Also listed under: 4 other names
Description: bacterial LSU rRNA
Rfam family: Bacterial large subunit ribosomal RNA
Source: RNAcentral
GAGCAAUCUGUGUGACUGCGUACCUUUUGUAUAAUGGGUCAGCGACUUAUAUUCUGUAGCAAGGUUAACCGAAUAGGGGAGCCGAAGGGAAACCGAGUCUUAACUGGGCGUUAAGUUGCAGGGUAUAGACCCGAAACCCGGUGAUCUAGCCAUGGGCAGGUUGAAGGUUGGGUAACACUAACUGGAGGACCGAACCGACUAAUGUUGAAAAAUUAGCGGAUGACUUGUGGCUGGGGGUGAAAGGCCAAUCAAACCGGGAGAUAGCUGGUUCUCCCCGAAAGCUAUUUAGGUAGCGCCUCGUGAAUUCAUCUCCGGGGGUAGAGCACUGUUUCGGCAAGGGGGUCAUCCCGACUUACCAACCCGAUGCAAACUGCGAAUACCGGAGAAUGUUAUCACGGGAGACACACGGCGGGUGCUAACGUCCGUCGUGAAGAGGGAAACAACCCAGACCGCCAGCUAAGGUCCCAAAGUCAUGGUUAAGUGGGAAACGAUGUGGGAAGGCCCAGACAGCCAGGAUGUUGGCUUAGAAGCAGCCAUCAUUUAAAGAAAGCGUAAUAGCUCACUGGUCGAGUCGGCCUGCGCGGAAGAUGUAACGGGGCUAAACCAUG